RNAcentral lists this ribosomal RNA (1074 nucleotides) under uncultured soil eukaryote. RNAcentral describes it as "partial small subunit ribosomal RNA". It matches the Rfam family "Eukaryotic small subunit ribosomal RNA", at positions 907 to 1803 of the family's 1831-position model. The record is from RNAcentral.
AGAGGUGAAAUUCUAUGACCCUAAAAAGAUGAACAACUGCGAAAGCAUCUAGCAAGAAUGCCUUCUUUAAUCAAGAACGAAAGUUGUGGGAGCGAAAAUGAUUAGAUACCGUUGUAGUCACAACUAUAAACAAUGUCGAUUUAGGAUUGUAAAAAGUUAAUUAUGAAUGACUUGUGCUGAACUAUGUGAGAAAUCAAAAUAUUCAGACUCCGGGGGGAGUAUGGUCGCAAGUCUGAAACUUAAAAGAAUUGACGGAAGGGCACCACCAGGAGUGGAACCUGCGGCUUAAUUUGACUCAACGCGGGGAAACUUACCAGGUCAGGAGACAAAAAGGAUUGACAGAUUGAUCGAUCUUUCAUGAUAGUGUCAUAGGUGGUGCAUGGCCGUUUUUAGUUGGUGGUUUGAAUUGUCAGGUUAAUUCCGAUAACGAACGAGACCUUAACCUGCUAAAUAGAUUAUCGUAUAUGAUGAAUAUUUGUUAUUAAUACUAUAAUAUAUUUUUAUAUUAUAGUAAAACAAUAGUUAUUACUAUUCUUCCUAUUUUUAAUAUUAUUAUAUUUUAAAAAUAAUAAUAAUAAUAAUUCUUUUUAUUGUUAAUAUUAUUGAUAAUUUAUAGUAAUUUAAUUUUAGGGAAUGAUUUUAAAUUUGUAAUCCCAAAAUAAAAUAAUGCUUCUUAGAGGAACUAUCUGUAUCUUAGCAGAUGGAAGAAAGACAAUAACAGGUCUGUGAUGCCCUUCGAUGUUCUGGGCUGCACGCGCGUUACAAUGGUGUAAACAGAAAGUUUAUUUACAUAAUUUGAAAAGAUUUGUGUAAUCUCUAAAUUAUCCCGUGAUUGGGAUUGUGUUUUGCAAUUAUCGCACAUGAACGAGGAAUUCCUUGUAUGAAUACGUUAAAAACGUGUUUAGAAUAAGUCCCUGCCCUUUGUACACACCGCCCGUCGCUCCUACCGAUGGAAUUUUGAGGUGAGGUUUUAUUUUGAAAAAAAUAAAAAAGAGAACGUUAAAAAAAAAAUAUUGUAUUGAAAUUUGUUCAAAUCUUUACAUUUAGAGGAAGGAGAAGUCGUAACAAGGUCUC